UGGGGAAUUUUGGACAAUGGGCGAAAGCCUGAUCCAGCAAUGCCGCGUGUGUGAAGAAGGCCUUCGGGUUGUAAAGCACUUUUGUCCGGAAAGAAAUGGCUCUGGUUAAUACCUGGGGUCGAUGACGGUACCGGAAGAAUAAGGACCGGCUAACUACGUGCCAGCAGCCGCGGUAAUACGUAGGGUCCAAGCGUUAAUCGGAAUUACUGGGCGUAAAGCGUGCGCAGGCGGUUGUGCAAGACCGAUGUGAAAUCCCCGAGCUUAACUUGGGAAUUGCAUUGGUGACUGCACGGCUAGAGUGUGUCAGAGGGGGGUUAGAAUUCCACGUGUAGCAGUGAAGUGCGUAGAGAUGUGGAGGAAUACCGAUGGCGAAGGCAGCCCCCUGGGAUAACACUGACGCUCAUGCACGAAAGCGUGGGGAGCAAACAGGAUUAGAUACCCUGGUAGUCCACGCCCCUAAAACGAUGUCAACUAGUUGUUGGGGGAUUCAUUUCCUUAGUACGUAGCUAACGCGUGAAGUUGACCGCCUGGGGAGUACGGUCGCAAG
This 547-nucleotide ribosomal RNA is filed under the name uncultured bacterium. Its description in RNAcentral is "partial 16S ribosomal RNA". It matches the Rfam family "Bacterial small subunit ribosomal RNA", at positions 355 to 892 of the family's 1533-position model. The record is from RNAcentral.